CCUACGGGAGGCAGCAGUGAGGAAUAUUGGUCAAUGGGCGGGAGCCUGAACCAGCCAAGCCGCGUGAGGGAAGAAGGUACAGCGUAUCGUAAACCUCUUUUGUCAGGGAACAAAGGCGGGGACUAGUCCCCGGAUGAGGGUACCUGAAGAAAAAGCAUCGGCUAACUCCGUGCCAGCAGCCGCGGUAAUACGGAGGAUGCGAGCGUGAUCCGGAUUUAUGGGGUUUAAAGGGUGCGCAGGCGGCCUGUUAAGUCAGCGGUAAAAGCCCGGGGCUCAACCCCGGCGAGCCGUUGAAACUGGCGGGCUGGAGUUGGAGAGAAGUACGCGGAAUGCGCGGUGUAGCGGUGAAAUGCUUAGAUAGCGCGCAGAACCCCGAUUGCGAAGGCAGCGUACCGGCUCCACACUGACGCUGAGGCACGAAAGCGUGGGUAUCGAACAGGAUUAGAUACCCGAGUAGUC
This 459-nucleotide ribosomal RNA is filed under the name uncultured bacterium. RNAcentral's name for it is "partial 16S ribosomal RNA". It matches the Rfam family "Bacterial small subunit ribosomal RNA", at positions 338 to 795 of the family's 1533-position model. The record is from RNAcentral.